RNAcentral lists this ribosomal RNA (476 nucleotides) under uncultured bacterium. Its description in RNAcentral is "bacterial SSU rRNA". It matches the Rfam family "Bacterial small subunit ribosomal RNA", at positions 28 to 518 of the family's 1533-position model. The record is from RNAcentral.
GACGAACGCUGGCGGCGUGCUUAAUACAUGCAAGUCAACUGAACUUGAAGUAGCAAUAUUUCAAGGGAGGUGGCGCACGGGUGAGUAACACGUAGGUAAUCUGCCUUUAGGUCUGACAUAAUUCCGCGAAAGCGGGACUAACUUCAGAUGAUGCAGCGGCUCGACAUCGAGACAGUUGUUAAAUCUUCGGAGCCUAAAGAUGAGCCUGCGUCUGAUUAGGUAGUUGGCGGAGUAAAAGCCCACCAAGCCUGCGAUCAGUAGCUGGUCUGAGAGGAUGAUCAGCCACACUGGGACUGAGACACGGCCCAGACUCCUACGGGAGGCAGCAGUGGGGAAUAUUGGACAAUGGGCGCAAGCCUGAUCCAGCCAUGCCGCGUGAGUGAUGAAGGCCUUAGGGUUGUAAAGCUCUUUCGCCGGUGAAGAUAAUGACGGUAACCGGUAAAGAAGCCCCGGCUAACUUCGUGCCAGCAGCCGAC